UUCCAAGACCUUCUUCUCCAGUCAAAAUCAAGUCACCCCAAUCUGUUAGUGCCAGGAGAAAUUACUUAGGGAACUUUACUAUUGCAAAGUGAGGAGGAGUGAGCCAUAGAAUCACUACUUUUCAGUGGCUGUCUAGGCCUCUGUUUCCAACCCUGGCAAAUUCAAGAUGUGUGGAUUUCAACUCCCAAAAUUCCCAAGCCAGCAUGCCUGAAGAAUUCUGACAGUUGAAGUCCAGGCAUUUUAAAUUUGCCAACUUGAGAAACACUGCCUAGGCUGUAGAUCUGAGUCUUACUUUUACACUUCCUACUUCUGACCUUCUGAAAAACCAAACUGUCCCAGAGAUCCUCUGGCUACUGCAUCACAGGAAUUCUGGUGGACAGAGCAUGGAAGGGCAGAAUGCAUGCUCCCUCUGAGCAAGGUGUUUGCAAUAUAUGCCAAGUCAACAUUUUCCACAAGGAUAAAUUCAAGGUAGGUUUAUAUACUGCUCCAGUCAUGACUGACUCUAAGUGGCUUACCGAGCUCCAAAUAAUAAUAGGAUUAAAAGCAAUAUUCAGCAACAAAAAAAUAAAGUACCCAGAUGCUGAGGAAUAGCCAUAAAACAUAUAAACAUUCACCCUCUAGGACAUUUGGAUAAAGAUUUUGCCAAAAUAUGAAGACAAAGAGGAAUCCCUAUGAUGACAACAAUAAAAAUCAGGAAAUGUUUGUGCACAACAACUAAAAACAUGAAUGUCCUCUAUAUAUGUUAUUCUUUUACUGUUCAUUAAAUGCACAAAACAGUAUUGUUUCAGGUUGAAUGUAAUACAGAUUCCUAUUUAAUCUUCAGUCCAGUUUCAUACCAUUUCCAAUAAAAAAAACCCUUCUGCUAGAAA
This is a long non-coding RNA of Pantherophis guttatus, 869 nucleotides long. RefSeq lists it as uncharacterized. NCBI's taxonomy places the organism in Eukaryota, Metazoa, Chordata, Lepidosauria, Squamata, Colubridae. The record is from RefSeq and is a predicted model, not a curated record.